Ciona intestinalis (vase tunicate) is the source of this 223-nucleotide non-coding RNA. NCBI's taxonomy places the organism in Eukaryota, Metazoa, Chordata, Ascidiacea, Phlebobranchia, Cionidae. The record is from Rfam.
GACACACUUCCUUGAAUAUGCUUUACGGACGAAAAGUUUUCAAAUAUUGUCGUUUACUUCACGUUUAGUGGCAAUAUUUGGUGUACGAGUGUCCAGCAACCAUUCAUGGUUGUUCAGUGUAUAGCAUAUGAGUCAAUGGUGUGUCAAAGUAUUUGUACCCUCACUAAAAUUUUAGCAGUUCGGCUUUGUAUUUCAAACUGCAUAAAUCUUUACUGCGGACAAA